RNAcentral lists this ribosomal RNA (498 nucleotides) under uncultured bacterium. Its description in RNAcentral is "partial 16S ribosomal RNA". It matches the Rfam family "Bacterial small subunit ribosomal RNA", at positions 28 to 523 of the family's 1533-position model. The record is from RNAcentral.
GACGAACGCUGGCGGCGUGCCUAACACAUGCAAGUCGAGCGGAGUUGACAAGAGGAAGUUUUCGGAUGGAAUCUUGCCAGCUUAGCGGCGGACGGGUGAGUAACGCGUGAGCGACCAACCUUGCACAGGGGGAUAACGGACCGAAAGGUUCACUAAUACCGCAUGAGACCACGGUGUUGCAUGACACAGGGGUCAAAGGAGGAAUCCGGUGCAAGACGGGCUCGCGUCCGAUUGGGUAGUUGGAGGGGUAACGGCCCACCAAGCCUAUGAUCGGUAGCCGACCUGAGAGGGUGAUCGGCCACAUUGGAACUGAGAUACGGUCCAAACUCCUACGGGAGGCAGCAGUGGGGAAUAUUGGGCAAUGGGGGAAACCCUGACCCAGCAACGCCGCGUGAAGGAAGAAGGUUUUCGGAUUGUAAACUUCUGUCCUUGGCGAAGAGAAGAAGACGGUAGCCAAGGAGGAAGCCCCGGCUAACUACGUGCCAGCCGCCGCGGUAA